AACGUAGGUGGCAAGCGUUAUCCGGAAUUACUGGGCGUAAAGGGUGUGCAGGCGGGGGUGCAAGGGGUGUAUGAAAUAUCCCAGCUUAACUGGGAGGGGUUAUGCCAGACUGCAACUCUAGAGGACGAGAGAGGGGGGUGGAAUUCCGGGUGCAGUGGUGAAAUGCGUAGAGAUCCGGAGGAACCCCAGAGGCGAAGGCGGCCCCCUGGCUCGUACCUGACGCUCAGCCACGAAAGCAUGGGGAGCGAACGGG
This 253-nucleotide ribosomal RNA is filed under the name uncultured bacterium. RNAcentral describes it as "partial 16S ribosomal RNA". It matches the Rfam family "Bacterial small subunit ribosomal RNA", at positions 524 to 776 of the family's 1533-position model. The record is from RNAcentral.